UAAACCGAAACGAUAAUUCAUUCGAAAUACUGCCAAUUUCGGUCCCUAGACGCAAGCUUUCCCGUUUGAAAAGUAGCUUCAAAGAUGUUUAUAUACCCGAAUCCUUCGCAUUGCGAAAAUCUAGAUUCAUACGAAUCUGCCAACUAAGUAUAUAUAAUGCGAUAUGCUGGGUUGUGGUUUUGAAACCAAAAUGUUUUCCAAAAACUAUUCCGGAGUGACGCUACUAUACGUUACAUCUAUAUAUUACAUUUAUAUAUCCUAGAACAGUUCGAGACGCGUUCGCAGAACUGGGAUAAUAGACAAAUAUUAAAGGAGUCAUUGAAUUAUUUAAAUACAUUUUUAAUUCACAUACGGGGUUAGUCGAAGAUUUCAAUUUUUUCUGUACAAUUGCCAUAUCUUCUUUGAUCCAAAGAGAAUAUCCUAUGUUUGAAACCGAAUAUUCGAGUCAAGGGGUAAUUUGUUUUACAUGAAAAGUGCAGCGCUUGGAUAAGAAUAUCAAACCAGAAAAGCAACUCACAAUCAGUGAUUUAUGUAGUUCAAUCUCUAUUUAAUUUAUUUAAAAUAUUUUUUAUUGGACCUAAAUACGUAUUUCUUAAAUUAAAAACUAGAUAAAUUGUCGCAUUAAAUAAAUGUGCUCUCAGUGCACUGAUUUUUUGGAUCAAUUAAUACUUAUUGAAUCGAAUAACUUUUUUUUCUCAGUGUAGCUAAACCACUCGAGUCUGCUGCGAAAGUGAGCUUGUUAAUCAGGAUACGUACAGUUUGUCUCCAAGUAAACUUACUGUAUGCUUUUUACUUUUGUGUGCACACGUUAGGACUUCAGACUCGACGCACCUCGGUACUUUUUUGAUUUUCGGUAGUUACAUAUUCAUGGCGUAUAAAACCUAAUUAAACGCCCCUUGAAACAUCAGUGCAAAGUAAUCAAGAACUCGCGAACUAAUUAGCAAGUCCCAUCUAAUCACCCGAGUGUAGCAUACUCAUGUCCUCUGCGUAUAUAUUAUAUGUAUAGGUAUGACUUUUACUUUCAGCAUUCAUCGUACCAUGGUGUACUUCAUUAUUUACGCAUAAAAAUUACCGAACGAACGAAAAUUGCUCGAAUGGGUUCCUCAAACAUUCUAGUACUUUAAAGCUUCUAUAAUUGAUAUUUCCAGGCAAAAUUUCUACACGCUCAAUUUAAACGGUUCGAUGUCUAGAUCUGCCCACGCUUGAUAGCGUAAUUUAAUGAUUUUUUUAAACUCUCCUCUACGAAGAGCUGAAGUGAAAUAGCGCUGCACUCGAAAGUGUGUCCUCUAUAAUUCUCAUAGCUCGUAGCUCCGUAGAUCUGAAUUAUCAUGAUGUAAUACUUCGUACUAAUAAUGUUGAAAAAAAUUUGACCUAGGCUAAAUAGAAAUUGACACGAAAUUUAGUCUAAUUUCAAAUUACCGUUCUUUCCUAACAUAUAUUUUUACGACUAGCAGGACUGAUUGCUCAGCUGCACCUACGGUUCCGUUGCAGUGUUUCUCUAGUCUACUGUCUCUAGGACGUUCUGCCAACGGCAAAUGGCCAGGGGAUAGCUCCUGCGCCUAGACAAGAAUACCAGGGGAGCAUAGCGGCACUUUAGUGAUUUCAGGUUGGAUAAUCGUUUCUAGAGACACGGAGAGCUGGCUGAUCUCGGCUCCAGUCACCGACCUAGGAAAACCGGUUUAGCCGCGAUGCUGCCGAGGCGGCAAGUUCACUAUUAGGGAACUAGGAAACCCAGUCGCUGUUUCGCUCCGAUGCUCGAUGGUCGGGUGAAAGGUAGUUCCACAGUUUGUAUAUUGCGAAUGAUUAACACUUGCGCAAUGGGGCCGCGUUCUUUCCAUAUCUUCGUCUAGAAAUCUUUGACUUAUAAAUUCUAUCUGUACAUUACAUGCUCAAAUCGGACUGGAUCAAGACAUCCGAUAGAACAUUUAUCUAUACCUAUUUUUUCAAUUAAAUUUAUGCAUAUAUUUCACAAAAUCAUACAAAAUACUGAACGGAUUUGGCACCUCUGACCUUACGUUAAUUGUAAGAAGUUGCAGAUUUGGAUUGCUAUUAGCUUAUAAAAUCCAAUGUGUACAUGAGACGGAAUUGUAAAGUCAUUAGUAAUGUUAUUGCAACGAUGAACUUUUGGGAAAAUCGUUAUUUCACAACUUUAACAUUGUAUGAAAUUCAAGAAAUCGUAAUAAAGCAAACCAUACCUAUAUUUCGAAAACUUGAAUCAUUUGAAGUCAUUCUAAAAUUGCAAAGCUGCCAUUUUUUCUCCAACCGUUUGUUACGUUAACGCUGCCACAACUUCAUUCUCGUAUGACUAGAAUGAUCGUAACAGCUGGGACGUGAACUGUUGUAUGAAUAUUCAGUAUUUAACAUUUGGGUACCGGCAUAAAAGGUGUGUUGACCUGAUCUGAUAGCGAUCAGAAAUUUCUAUUGUUUGCCAUGUCUUAGUGUGGCAAUGUAGGAGAGGUGAUGAAACCUCGGACUCCCAGUCGCAACUAGGGCAUUGUCAAUGGUAUGACAUAACGCGGUUAUUGUAUCGUAAUUUCGUAAUCGUUAGCGGCUAGUGAAAAUCGCUAAAAAAUAGGAAUGUGAAACUCGAAAAAAAAGAAAUUGCGCAUUGAUUGUCGCUGUAAAAAUUUGUAUCAGCUCGAUCGAUGAAUAACAAUAAGAUGAUUCGCGUGCACGAACGGUGAUAACAAACCGAACGAAACCUAUCAGCAUCAGAGAGUUUUAUACUUCAGUGAAAACACUCAAGUUCAAUUUAAAUGGUGUGACGCGACGCAUUAAUCAUACGAGUGGCACGGAGCACCGACUGGAACCUCCCAACAAACGAUGACUGAUAUUUUUUCACUACCUUCGCUAACGGUAAAUAUGACGUGCUUACGGGGGAAGUUCAUUCGAUUAUUCGUUUAGUUGGAGGUAACACAUUGAAAUAGAAUAUCAAACGAUUGAUUUGUAUUAUACGAGACGAAUGUCGUUGGGUUGUUUGUAACUAGGCGCCCAAUCUGUUUGACUAAUUACUUGUCAGGACCGUUACCUGAAGAAGAUAGAGAGUUGCCCCACUGGACUUUGGUGUGACAACCAAAAAUGGUCGUGCGCUUGCGCCCCCUGAGAUGUUCCAAUGGUAGAGUUGAAAACUUAUUGCAGAACAUCAGAGAGUUGCCGAUUUCGACAUGAUGCUGGCUACAUUCACCUUCCGAGUAACGCAGUCUUCGCAAUGCGGAGAGAUAGAACGAAGCUUCUUGAAACUUGAAGUGUAUUUUAACACACAUAUGAGAGGUACCAGCUAAAAUUGUUUGCAUCCAACUGUUACAGAACGGCAGCAUUAUUAGCUGACCCGUUAACUGGAGAAUAUAUCUUUAGUAGACGCUGACCAUCGAAGGGCGUAGCCGCUUGAGUCUGGAAUCGGCAAGAGAGAUAAGACGAAAAUCAACUAGCCGAUUUCCUCAGUCCGGAAACAACCGCGCAGUAGAAUGGACGUAUGAGAACCGCGCUCCGCAGAUUUUGAGUACCGGGGUCUCUACCUCCUGGACCCUGCGCUUCGGGGCCACUUUCUGGUGAAACUUUAGUUCCAGGACAAGCGCUCCGUAGUUUCUACGCUCCAGGUACGCUACCGGGUGGAACUAGACGUUCAUUCAACUCGAAUCUGAGACCAAAAACGUUUGACUCCAAGAUCUAAGAAAAAGUACAACCCGAGGUGGUUAUCGGUGGUUGUUCGAGGUGGUUGGCGAUUGUUG
RNAcentral lists this long non-coding RNA (3728 nucleotides) under Neodiprion pinetum (white pine sawfly). RNAcentral's name for it is "uncharacterized LOC124214702, transcript variant X2". The record is from RNAcentral. Lineage: Eukaryota; Metazoa; Arthropoda; Insecta; Hymenoptera; Diprionidae.